RNAcentral lists this non-coding RNA (182 nucleotides) under Andreesenella formicacetica. The record is from RNAcentral. Lineage: Bacteria; Bacillati; Bacillota; Clostridia; Peptostreptococcales; Natronincolaceae.
UAAAAAGAUUAUAUUUUAGGUGUUUCAUGGGAAACUUAAAUGGGAAAGCGGUGAAACUCCGCUGCAGCCCCCGCUACUGUAAGUGAGGAUGAAAUCGACAAUAGCCACUAAUUUAUUUUGGGAAGGCGUCGAAAGUAAAGUGAUCCACAAGUCAGGAGACCGGCCUAAAAUUUGCAGCAGAC